Molecule: long non-coding RNA, 477 nt
Filed under: Mustela putorius furo (domestic ferret)
Lineage: Eukaryota; Metazoa; Chordata; Mammalia; Carnivora; Mustelidae
Description: lncRNA (ENSMPUG00000029397.1)
Source: RNAcentral
AUUCUGUAGAAGAUUGAGGAAUUCCUAAACUCCUCACUUGCCCAUCAUGGGAAUUGAGAGCAAGGAGAGCUUUGCUGCCUGCUGUGUCCUACGGAGUAGACUAACCAUCCGGGUGGAUUCAUGGCCCUUCACCAGCUGAUUAGAUGGAUGGGUACCGAGCCAACCCAGUUCUAUAUACAGAUUGUCACAUCGUCAGCGGUGAAGGGGAAGCUCUGCAAUCACUGAGAAGCACGGACUCCAGGUCAGAAUGCUUGGGUUUGGAUCCUCUCUCUAUUAUCUGAUAUUAUGUGACCACUGGCAACAUAUUGUUUUAAUGCAGAUCUUAUUCUUGUUAAGAAGAUAAUACCUACAUCCCAAGUUACUGAGAGUGCAAAGGAAAAAUUAUAAGCAAUGCCCUGGUCACAUCAUGCACACUCAGUAAUUGUUAAUAGUCUGAAGUAUUUUUAUCUACUCUGGGUGUUCAGAGCUCUUUCAGUG